RNAcentral lists this ribosomal RNA (900 nucleotides) under Populocrescentia forlicesenensis. RNAcentral describes it as "eukaryotic LSU rRNA". It matches the Rfam family "Eukaryotic large subunit ribosomal RNA", at positions 30 to 949 of the family's 3401-position model. The record is from RNAcentral. Lineage: Eukaryota; Fungi; Ascomycota; Dothideomycetes; Pleosporales; Phaeosphaeriaceae.
GGAAUUAGCAUAUCAAUAAGCGGAGGAAAAGAAACCAACAGGGAUUGCCCUAGUAACGGCGAGUGAAGCGGCAACAGCUCAAAUUUGAAAUCUGGCUCUUUUAGGGUCCGAGUUGUAAUUUGCAGAGGGCGCUUUGGCAUUGGCAGCGGUCCAAGUUCUUUGGAACAGGACGUCACAGAGGGUGAGAAUCCCGUACGUGGUCGCUAGCCCUUGCCGUGUAAAGCCCCUUCGACGAGUCGAGUUGUUUGGGAAUGCAGCUCUAAAUGGGAGGUAAAUUUCUUCUAAAGCUAAAUACUGGCCAGAGACCGAUAGCGCACAAGUAGAGUGAUCGAAAGAUGAAAAGCACUUUGGAAAGAGAGUCAAAUAGCACGUGAAAUUGUUGAAAGGGAAGCGCUUGCAGCCAGACUUGCCUGUAGUUGCUUAUCCGGACUUUUGUCCGGUGCACUCUUCUGCGGGCAGGCCAGCAUCAGUUUGGGCGGUUGGAUAAAGGUCUCUGUCAUGUACCUCUCUUCGGGGAGGCCUUAUAGGGGAGACGACAUGCAACCAGCCUGGACUGAGGUCCGCGCAUCUGCUAGGAUGCUGGCGUAAUGGCUGUAAGCGGCCCGUCUUGAAACACGGACCAAGGAGUCUAACAUCUAUGCGAGUGUUUGGGUGUCAAGCCCAGACGCGUAAUGAAAGUGAACGGAGGUGGGAACCCUUUUGGGUGCACCAUCGACCGAUCCUGAUGUCUUCGGAAGGAUUUGAGUAAGAGCAUGGCUGUUGGGACCCGAAAGAUGGUGAACUAUGCUUGAAUAGGGUGAAGCCAGAGGAAACUCUGGUGGAGGCUCGCAGCGGUUCUGACGUGCAAAUCGAUCGUCAAAUUUGGGCAUAGGGGCGAAAGACUAAUCGAACUAUCUAUGG